This 467-nucleotide ribosomal RNA is filed under the name uncultured bacterium. RNAcentral describes it as "partial 16S ribosomal RNA". It matches the Rfam family "Bacterial small subunit ribosomal RNA", at positions 28 to 507 of the family's 1533-position model. The record is from RNAcentral.
GACGAACGCUGGCGGCGUGCUCAACACAUGCAAGUCGAACGGAAAGGCCUCUUUCGGGGGGUACUCGAGUGGCGAACGGGUGAGUAACACGUGAGUAACCUGCCCUUGACUUUGGGAUAACUUCAGGAAACUGGGGCUAAUACCGGAUAGGAGCUCCUGCUGCAUGGUGGGGGUUGGAAAGUUUCGGCGGUUGGGGAUGGACUCGCGGCUUAUCAGCUUGUUGGUGGGGUAGUGGCUUACCAAGGCUUUGACGGGUAGCCGGCCUGAGAGGGUGACCGGCCACAUUGGGACUGAGAUACGGCCCAGACUCCUACGGGAGGCAGCAGUGGGGAAUAUUGCACAAUGGGUGGAAGCCUGAUGCAGCAACGCCGUGUGCGGGAUGACGGCCUUCGGGUUGGAAACCGCUUUCGCUCAUGACGAAGCUUUGUGUGACGGUAGUGGGUAAAGAAGCACCGGCUAACUACGUG